GGUCUCUGAUUUCUCUUCAGAUCGCUUAAAUCUUUCACCUUUUACUAGGGAUUCCUGUGGCGAGAAACAAUUCUGAGGCUUAAAUCAGUUUUUGAGGCCUUGUUUUGGCAAGGCU
Small nuclear RNA from Oryctolagus cuniculus (rabbit), 115 nucleotides. Its record names the gene U5. It matches the Rfam family "U5 spliceosomal RNA". Rfam says of the family: U5 RNA is a component of both types of known spliceosome. The precise function of this molecule is unknown, though it is known that the 5' loop is required for splice site selection and p220 binding, and that both the 3' stem-loop and the Sm site are important for Sm protein binding and cap methylation. Lineage: Eukaryota; Metazoa; Chordata; Mammalia; Lagomorpha; Leporidae. The record is from Ensembl.